Molecule: ribosomal RNA, 237 nt
Filed under: uncultured bacterium
Lineage: Bacteria
Description: partial 16S ribosomal RNA
Rfam family: Bacterial small subunit ribosomal RNA
Source: RNAcentral
AAUCAACGCUGGCGGCGUGCCUAACACAUGCAAGUCGCACGAGAAAGUCCCCGCAAGGGGAUGAGUAAAGUGGCGUACGGGUGAGUAACACGUGACUAACCUACCCUAAAGUGGGGGAUAACCUCGGGAAACCGGGGCUAAUACCGCAUAACCUCGCGAGGUGAAAUUCCUUGUGAGCAAAGCAGCAAUGCGCUUAUGGAGGGGGUCGCGGCUGAUUAGCUAGUUGGCGGGGUAACG